CAGAAACAGGGUCUUGCUAUGUUGACCAGGCUGAUCUCAAACUUCUGACCUCAAGCAGUCCUUCCACCUCAGCCUCCUGAAACACUGGGAUUACAGGCCAGAGCCACCAUGCCAGGCUAUGAAGUUUUAUUUUAAGUUUCGAGAUGUGGGGAUUUCUUUUUUAAAGCAGCAAGUACUACCUGAACUAAAACGGGUGAUUUUGCAACUUGCUACGGAUUAUGGAAAUAGUUGGCAUCUAUAUUGGUGAGGUACCCACCAAAACUCAAACAGAAGGAAUGCCAUUUUGGAGAACGAAUCUCAACUUUAACCUUCUUUCAUCCGUGGGAGUAAAGAGACAGAAAGGGAAUGAAUUUCCAAGAAGACCAGCGUAGAACGGAAAAAUAUCAGAGGAGGGAGAAUUGUUAAGGAUUUCCAGUAUCUCAAGUGUGGAUGCUGUCCUGAGCUGACCCAAGGCUCUGGAAAGGACACAGAACACAUUUAUGAGUCUUUUCACCCUCAUUUCGUUGAAGAUUUUAUUGGCCGAAGAACCCUCAGUAGGCACGAAAUUCAUUCUCACAAGCAGAGAGAUGCAUUAUGCUCCAUUUAUUGCUCAUCCUAAAUUAUAAACAUUUCCAGUGAAUGUAAAGGAAGAUAUGAUUGAAAAGGACUCUGUGAAGACAGGAUGUUUCUGUACAGUCCUUGUAUCUGCUCACCUAUUCCAAACUUUCCAGAGAUUUUACCAGAGGUUUAAGAUAUUCUCCUGAGGGUUUGCUGUAGAGAGAUUUUUCUUAACUAAGGAGUGCAAGUAGCAAGCAAUAGCCCACCCAGUUGGAGACAAAAAAGAAGGGUGUCAGUGUUCCCACUGUUAAAAAACAAAAAAAAAUCACCCUGGACACCUCUGAGAAUUAUACAAGGGGAUGUACACAGCCCUGCUUUAUUUGAGUUCAAAAGGAAGGUGGGUUUUGAAAGAAGAACAAGGAGAGUAGAUCUCUCUGGAUCUUCUGAUGCUCACAGCAAAGAGCUCAAGGUAUCUGAGUCAACUCUUGAGGCUUCUUCGAACAGAGGGAUGAAGAGAGAAUAUGGCAAGCUUGCCAACAGAUCCCAGAAGUUUUAAGAGAAAAGAACAGAUUGCUCUUUGCAAAACAAACCGAGCUGGGUGCAUGGAGCCCCAGUAGACAGAAAGUGAAGAAAACAUCAACGUUCUGAAGUUUUAGAUAGGUGCACCAUCCCUUAUGGAUACCAAUCUGUGCUCCCCAUAAACUUCUGUGCCCAGGGUCAACUGGCCAGGGACAACUGGCUCACCAGGAGGCCUACAUAGCCUCUUCUUCAGGCCCUAAUUACAGCUCUAUGCAAUAGGGACUCUGCCAUCUGACAGCCAAGGAGGUGGUUCGGUUUCUGCACAUGGUUUUUUCCGCUGGGUCCCUUGAGGUCCAUGGUAACCUCUUCCUCAUUCUCUACAGGCAGAUCACACUUUGUAAUAAGAUCAGAGGCAGAGAACUUUGACCAGAUCACACUUUAUAAUAAGAUCAGAGGCAAAGAACUCUGACCAGAUCACACUUUAUAAUAAGAUCAGAGGCAGAGAACUUUGACAACUAUCUCCUUGCCCUCUGGCCCUGGGGUCAGGGCUACUCAAACAACACCUGCUGUCCCAAACCCGGAGAAGUGUAGAUUUUGGCACUGGUAGAGGAAUAACAGCUAUUGUUGACACUUAAUCUUGUGGGCCUGGAAUUUCAACUAUGUUUUCACAACUCGGAGCCUAUUGCUGCCACCUCUGUCAGGGAAGAUAAAUGGGCAUGAAUAAUAGACAGAUGAGUUUCCCAAAAGCCCAGACAGGCUGCAGGGAACACGUAAUGAGCAGACAGUGUGGUUCACGCCGGGGAGCCCAGGUUUAUCCAGGCCUCAUCCUCACUCCCUUUCUCUACUGAUAAUUGGACCCAACAGGACCAUUCCGAAUCAUUUUUCUCUCUUCAGUUAUUCUUCAGUUCUACUCAAAGGGUCAGUUUAGGGCAUAAUUAAAGUCAAUUACUUUCUGAAAGGCCAUCAGGACAACUGUUAGAGAAAAUGAUAGCAGCCCCGCACUUGCUGUAGGAAUUAUUAGCUUGUCAGCCUCCAGGCUUAUGGAGACAAAGGAUCAAAAAGUUAGAGAGAUCCAGGUGUUCACCUAUUUGUUCACUAAUUCUUUUAUUGUGAGUGUGCAUGUGUGUGGGUGGGUGUGACAUUUAUUAUGAACCAGAGGGCAGGAGCCAGUGACACAGUGGUGCAGAGAAUAAUCAUAUUCCCUGCCUUCCUGGGGUCAUACAGCUUGGUGGAGGACACAGAUGUGAAUUCGGUAAUCACUCCAAUAAAUAUUCUCCUACAGAUGAAGAAAGAUGAUACGAUGUGAUGGACAACAGAGACUUAUAUGGUGGGGUCUGGGCUGGUCUUUCUGAAGCUAAGACUGGCAGGAUGAGCAGGAGUUUGCCAGACAAAGAGGAGUGGAGUUGUUUUCCAAACACAUCUCAGCACAAAGUGUUGUCUUUGCUGGGAGCUGAAAAAAGAUAGUGUGGGCAGAGACCAUUAGGUGAGACGCUUGAUAUGAGAUACAACCUCAACAGGUGGAAGAAGAUCAUGAGAGAUGAAGAGAGGAAUAUAGUACAGCAGAGAGGACACAGAAGCUGACGUCAGGGUGUCUCAGUUUGAAACCAGUGGCCACCCUGUUCCUCUCCCAUGUGGUCCCAUCAUGGGCCUCUAGGGUCUGGGAUAAGAGGUUAAUGAAUAUCUCAUACCCUAAGCAGGGGUGGUCCCUGCACUUUAGCAAAAAGUUAAGGAACUAGGGAAAAGAGAUGGAAAUAAUAAAGAGAUGGGACAAAGACUUUGAAGACCAAAGCCCCUGGGCUAUUCUCUUUUUUAAAUUUUUUUAUUUAAAUUUUCAUUUAUUUUUAUCAAGAUAGGGUCUCACUAUGUUGCCCAGGUUGGUCUCAAACUUUUGGCCUAAAGCAAUCCUCCCACCUUGGCCUCCCAAUGUGCUGGGAUUACAAUGUGAGCCACCACGUCCAGCCUCCUGGGAUAUUUCUCAAUGAAACAUUGGAUGCCAAGAUUGGUUUUGUGCCACAUGCCAAUUUCACAGAAGCCAGUCUAUGAGCCACCAGCUCUACUCAGCAAUUACAGUUUCUGGAACUUUGGCUAAAUUCCUGUAGAUGCACCACUGCUUGUGGCCUGACUCUUUGCCACCCAAGUGCGCUCAGCCUCCCCUGGGGAGUCUGCCAGGCUUGCAUGGCUCCCACUGCACUUGCUGUGCUGGGACCGAAAACAGUUUUUGUGCCCCUAGCUUAACUCCACUGGAUUCAUAGAGGCUUUGGCCUCCUCAAUGGCUGUCCUGGGACAGGGAGGCUGGUUAGCACAAUUAACACAACCUGGUCAUGCAAGGCAUUGAUGGUCCGUAACAUGAACUUUGACCAGUAGGAGACAGAGAAUGGAAAAAAGCCAGCAGAUAAAUCAUCUGGCCUUCCUCCCCUAUGACAGACUGUUCUGAGCCACAGUGUUUCACAUGUCUUCCUGGAGAUGUCCCACAUGACUUGAGCAACCAGCUGGAGCUCUGGAGAAACUGUGGCCAUCCUGGUAACAUAUGACCUUGUAUUUGCUUUCUCUCCUUCCUGCUUUAUUUCCCUAUGUCCCUUACUUUGGUUGUUGGGAUUGCACCUCCCAAUAAAGCAUUAGCAUGUCCGCUCUGCUUGGGGCUCUGUUUCCUGGGUUAAGACUCUGACUCUUGAAUGCUGAGGCAUUGUAUUGAGAAGGAGUUCAGGCUGGACUCACACCUGGUGAACAAGAGUGCUGUGGUGCGUGAGUGAGUUCUUCCACAGGUAUAAGAAAAGAUACUUAGUACCUGCCACCCCUGAACUAUCCUUUUACGGCAAAUGUUUGCUUAAAGUCAGCAGUCCCCUAAACAUACUUGAGAUCACAGAUGAAGCAAAAUCAGACUAUCUCCCAACAUAGAAAAGCACAAUAGGAAAGAAAUAUUUGGUGGUGAGAAGAUUAUAGCUAUAAGCAAAUUAGGCAAUCCAUCUGUGAGACCCAGCAUGCAGUAUGGUAGAAGUUGAAAAUAAAAACAUGGAUAAAAUUGCUUAAUGGAUUAUAAUAAUAUGCAUGACUGUGUGCCAGGCAGUGUACUAAGACUUUCUUGUUUCAUCCCAUUUGCUUAUUAUAACAGUACUAUAAGACAUGCACUCUUACAAACCCUUAUUUUACAGAGGAAGAAACAGGCCCAGAGAAGUUGGGUAACUCAUCAAAGGUCACAGAGCUAAGAGUGGCAGAGUCAGGCCUGGAGCCCAGGAAGUCUGGUUUCGAAUUUCAUGCUUCUAACCUGAGCACUGUACUGCUUGGUGGAGUUCUCUGCUAGUCCUACCUUUCAGGCAGAGGUGAUGCAGCAAGAAAGCUGCCACCAGAUGCAGCCCCUUGAUCUCGGACUGCCCAGCCUCUAGAACUGUGAGCCAAUUAAAUUUUUCCUUUGUAAAUUACCUAGUCUCUGGUAUCCUGUUAUAGCAGCAUAAACAGGCUAAGAUAGUAAGACAGUAGGGAAACAAGCUCCAGAUGUACUUGAAGUCUCUUGUUCUUAUUUUAGGAGUUGAAGAGCAAUUCCCUCCAGUUUCCAUUAGAAAUGCUUCUUCUUCCAUAUCAAAUAUUGUGAGAUAGCCUGAAACACCUUUCAACACUUUACUACCCUUCUCCAAAAUUCAACAGAUAUGAUUUCCACGGACUUUACUCACAGGGGCUUCAGUAGAAGAGGAAGAGGCUUGGGUUUAAUUGAAGGUGGCCUGAGACAUCUGUGAGGAACAGCCCUUUUAGAGACAUAUCCCCUACAAAUAAAGCAUCAGAAUUAUUAUCCUAAUACAUGAACAUCCAUGGUUCCUUCAGCACCAUCGUAAUGCAGAGACCAUGGGGAGAUGCAGGGAGAGGGCUCUGCACAGCAUGGCCAACUUGCCGGGUUGAAAACAGACAACCUCCAUGGAGCAGGGACUUCAAUUAGUUAAUUCCCCAUCCCCACUGUCACUUACUAACAUGGGAUUCUGAUUAAAAAUUAGAUUCUCUGCAAGAGGCUUAACUUAUAAUUUAAGAACUUUUGCUGUAUAACCAUUGCAAAAACAAUUACAUAAAGAUUAAUUAGCAAAUUCCCAAAACAGUAGUAAACGGCAAAGUAGUUUAAUUAAAACCAUUAUCUCCAAAAUCUGAACGUUAAUAACAGUUGUAGCUCAGGGAGAAAUAAGAGGCACACUGGCACAGAGUGGGGUAAAGGGAGGGUGUCCUUCGACACCAGCAUUCAGUCAGCCCAAGUCUCCACGGCUGCUGUCCUGUUAAUUACACUCCAGAACUCUGUGGCCACCGCGUCUUGAGAGGCCCUGGGCUCCUCCUAUGAGCCUCUGCAGCUGUAGCCUUGACGAACUUGUCAUUGCUGGCCUGCCUCCAACAAGAGGCCUUUAGCCCUCAGAAGAGAGGGAGGCAGCAGGGGGCACGAACAAGACUUUUAAGUGGGGAAUUCAUAAAAUUUGGAAUUGUCAGAAAACAUCUGUAACCAUGACUCUUGUCCUUCAGAAGACACUGAUAAAUUUAACCCAACCCAGACCCCUUAACACAAACUCUGAAGUAAAAGAUUGGCAAAGGAAGCCCAUGAGAAUGAAAUGUAACAAUAGCAACUAUGUAGUUAGCACACACACCAUAUGAUCUCACACAUUCACAAGAUCCUCAUGAAGCCACAUGGCCUUCAUUCUGUUAUUAUUUACUUAUUUAUUUAUGAGACAGGGUCCCACUCUGUUGCCCCAGUUGGAGUCAGUGGCACAAGGCAGUGUGCAGUGCUCAGUGCAGCCUCUAACUCCUGGCUCAAGUGAUCCUCCUACCCCAGAGUCCUGAGGGGCUGGGACUACAAGCACAUGCCACUAAGCUCAGCUAAUUUUUUUUCUUUUUUAAUUUUUUGUAGAGAUAGGGUCUGACUACAUUGCCCAGGCUGGUCUCAAACUCCUAGCCUCAAAUGAUCUUCCUGCCUCAGCCUCUCAAAGUGCUGGGAUUACAUGCGUGAGCCACUGCAUGCUGCCAUAUUAUUUUUAUUCUUAAGCUAAAGUCACUCACUUAGCCUCGUGCAUGGGGACCCUUCUCUUUUUAACUCUAAAGCCCAUUUGUUUACCUGGAUACCACACAGAUGCCCUUUGUGGUGCAACAUUUAGCCCAUUGAAGGCUAAUUAUGUGAGUCUCACAAUUGUGUGAGUCUGUCAUGAAGUAUAGCCUAGACUUGACAAUGAUUGAUUUCUCCAAAGAACCCCUUCAGCAGGGAGAUCCCAAAUCAGAGAGCCCUUGCCCUUACCCAGGACAGCCAAUGUCUCUGCAGCUCCACACGGAGCACCAGCUACCGUGGAGGGGUUGACCUGGGCCUGGAGUCCAGGACAGGCUGAGGAAUGCCCUUCCCCCAGCCCUCUCCCUGAGUGUCAGUCCCUGAGUUAGACACUGUCACAGGAGAGGGCUUGGAAGCCACCUUCUGACUCACCACACCCAUCCCAGCCAUGCCCCCUCACCCUGGCAAGCACCCAGGGGCUGUAUGUUGAUUUGUCUCUCCCCUAAUACAAGGCCCUGACCUCCACCAGCAGAGCCAGACUGUCUGCCUGCAAGCCUGGCUUUUUAUUCUGCUGCACUACAGAAAUUAUGCAAAUCACAGCUAUUAGUAUAACAGCUUUUGCAGAAUUCAGAAGAAAAAGGCAAAAAAAAAAAAAAAAACCACACAAUCACAAAAUCCCUAUGUUUGGUUAAAAGACCAUGAAUUUCCCCAUUGUCCUCACUCACUCUCUUGUCAAUAUGAGAUGUAUACAUCUGAAGCCUGCUUUUCAGUCUUAUGAACAUCUAUAAAAGAGACAUCAGUCAGCAGAAACCUCUGGUACUGCGACAUGAAAGAGAAUGAGGGAAAAACCCAACUCUAGCCAGGAUGGAGAAGAGAGGAAAGGCAAGAUGUGGGAGGCAGCCCCAGAAGGCCCAGGCGGGGUCUCUAGAGGAACCUAAGAAGACUCUGGUGUGGGACAAAGCUCCAAUGUGCUCUGAGCACUCUCGCUGUCCUUCCAGAGGGCCUCGUUCCCCUUCUCAUUCAUCUCACUCACCACAC
RNAcentral lists this long non-coding RNA (7093 nucleotides) under Homo sapiens (human). RNAcentral describes it as "HSALNT0258000". Lineage: Eukaryota; Metazoa; Chordata; Mammalia; Primates; Hominidae. The record is from RNAcentral.